This 1134-nucleotide long non-coding RNA is filed under the name Homo sapiens (human). Its description in RNAcentral is "non-protein coding lnc-IRS1-5:1". Lineage: Eukaryota; Metazoa; Chordata; Mammalia; Primates; Hominidae. The record is from RNAcentral.
AACUAAAAUAAUAGUUUGAAUUAUGAAAACUGAUUUCAAAAUUCAAUAGAAAAUAUGAGCUUAGUAGUUUUUUUUAAUUUACAAUGAUUUGAUAGAAUGAUUUGCAUAGAUUUUAAACUAUCAACACCAAAGCAUAUUUCCAAUUCAAGGAAAAUGUAUACAUAUAGAAUACAUAUUAUGUGUUAUGUCUAGACAUGCACACAGACAUUUGAGCUUGGACAAAAGCAAGGUCAUGCCUGUUUAAAGCUAUUAAUCUAGAUGAUGUUUCAUUAAAACCAAAGGCAUAUGUAACAUUUGUAAUAAAAGCCAAACAAACAAAUAAAAACUUUAUUUGCCUAAUUACAUCUAAGACAUUCUACUGGAUACUGAGCUAAUAGUGGUAAAAAAGGCAGAGAUGGUCUCUGCCCUCAUGGAGUUUAUAAUCUAGUAUGAAGAGAGAGAGACUUCAAAAAGCAACAAUAACAGGAUGGAUUAUUACAAAUUACAGGAAUUGCUAUGAAGGAAAGCAGAAUAUAAACUCAUGGAACUGUAGAUGUUCAUUGACAGAGUGGCUUUAGACAUCAUCUAGUGAUCAAAUGUGAUAUUUCACAAAUAAAUAAUAUAUUAUUUGUGAUAUAAUUGUGAUAUAGUCUAAGGUGAUUAUGGGAUCUGUCCAAGGUCACAUAACUAUAGGGGGCAUACAUCAAAUAAGACAUAGAGAAAAUUGACAGUUGAUUAUUUUUAUUGCAAGAAGAGUUUGAAAAUUUUUAAUUAAUUUUUUAUUGACAUAAUAGAUGUACAUAAUUCUGGGGUAUAUGGGGUAAUAUCAUACUUUCAUAUAAUUUAUAAAGAUCAAAUCAGUGUAUAUUAGGGUUCUCCAAAGGGACAGAACUAAUAGGAUAUAUGCAUAUAUGAAGGGGAGCUUAUUAUGAAGAAUUGACUCAAAAAAUCCCAAGGUGAAGUCCCACAAUAGGCCAUCUGCAAGCUGAGGAGGAAAGAAGCCAGUAAUGGCUCAGUCCGAGUCCAAAAGCCUCAGAAAUAGGGAAUCAAACAGUGCAGCUUCAAGGCCCAAGAGCCCCCCGGCAAAUCACUGGUGUAAGUCCAAGAGUCCAAAGGCCAAAGAACCUGGAGUCUGAUGUCCAAGGGCAGGAAUAA